UGGCUCAGUUGGUAGAGUGUGGUGUUUGCAACGCCAGGGUUGUGGGUUCGAUUCCCAU
Non-coding RNA from Salmo salar (Atlantic salmon), 58 nucleotides. The record is from Rfam. Lineage: Eukaryota; Metazoa; Chordata; Actinopteri; Salmoniformes; Salmonidae.